Long non-coding RNA from Salvelinus sp. IW2-2015, 1659 nucleotides. RefSeq lists it as uncharacterized. Lineage: Eukaryota; Metazoa; Chordata; Actinopteri; Salmoniformes; Salmonidae. The record is from RefSeq and is a predicted model, not a curated record.
UUCAGUAUAAAUGGAGUGUCUCGGAUUUACAUACAGAAUAAUACGAAAUGCUAUACGAUCAGGUUGCAGCAGCGUACAGUCAAAAGAAAACAAAAUGCUUGCUAACUUGGUUAACUACUUGAUUAAAUCAACUGUUUUAACCAAGCAAGAUAAAUAAAUGUGGAAUCACUACUGAGUGAAUUAACAAAAUCAUUUUGGAACGAACGCUUCCAAUAAUUUGAAUGGUCUGUCGAAGUCAAGGUGUUAAGUUCCUAGUGUAAUGGUUAGUUCCCACCUGUGGGUCAUAACAUUGCGGGUUCGCCUCCUGGAGGAGAAAUUUUGACCACUCUUUUGUUAAACCUCUUAGAUGUAAAGUCCCCUGUUUAGGGGACCUGCCUGGUUCUGGUACCGAUUCCGAACGUAAUUUUCACUUAUAAAUCGAUUUGUGGACACUGUAGAUCAAAACGGCUUGAAUUGAGCAAUAGCCCUGGUUCCCACGGACACAGAGGCUGCAGUCCAAAUUCAAAGUAGACAGACCUUGGCCCUAAACAGCCCUUGAAUGGCGUUUUACAUUGUCACAUCGGAGAGCCAAUGUCCGUUGAAAUCUUGAAAUUGACCUAAAAAACAACCAACUUAAAGCUACGAAUGUACCUAGCAAGCUAACGUAGUUAGCUAGCUAGCUACAGUUACCCAUAGCUAGCUAACUAGUUUUAUAGCUUGGUAAUUUAUUCCAAUAUGUUUAUGAAACUAGCUACGUUUUAUAGGGUCCUCACUACAAGACUAAGCCACUUUGCCAAUGCUAAAAUCAAUGUCAUCUAUAUAUUUGUUUUAGUAAGCUAGCUUACAAAAUUCAUAAUUUUGUCUGAUAUGCCGAAAAUGCAGCCGUGUUGAUUAAAUUUGACACUUUCCGGCCACYGGAGUAUGAUACGUGACCACAGUUUGCAUUGAAUUGUGGGUCAUAUCAACCCCACAAGUGAUCAUUCCCUUGAGCUAAAUCGAGGGGGCAACGUUAGUGAAUUGGACCUCCACUUAAGACAAACUGCAUCCAGUUUCGACAAGGAUUCCCGCAAGGCAAAGAGGCUAGCGCGAGUGCGGAGGGCGUAAAAAUAACAUAUUUGGACUGCAGCCAGACUAUAUUUUCUGAGCCUGUGUGAUGUAGGAUGUGAAAUCUGAAACCACUUGAACCUGGGAUGUCCUUCCUACCAUUUAAUUCGCUCUUCCGACUGUCCAUCAAAUCUUGGCUGAACCCUACAUCACAGCCACUGACAAAGAACAUCCCUGCAAUUGUUACAUCGUAGCGGAGCAGGAGAGUGAUUUCAUCAAGGUGUGCCAGGAGAUGAGCUCGAGGUGGAUUGGGAGCAGACACGGGGACCUGUGAGGACCUCGGACUUUCCUACCUCAGAGAAAGCGUCUUCAUCUGAUGCACCUUGGCUCUAUGUUAAACAAGGCAGGCUAUUGAUAGAGGGAAGCGUUCCACCUGUAAAUAUGUGUAGAUGAUAGUCUAAAGAUAAGGGGAGCCGUUUGUUGUUUCGUGUUCCCUUUUUGGCCAUGGCCUUUUGGUCAACUGGUUAGUUUAUGUGUAUUAUUUUUACGCUGUUGGACGCUACCUUGAACUGGAAUUAUUUUGUCGGGCGAAAAGAAAACUUGUUUAGUGACAAUACAAAAGAAAAGUAACCACAA